GGGUUUGUAGCUCAGGUGGUUAGAGCGCACGCCUGAUAAGCGUGAGGUCGGAAGUUCAAGUCUUCCCAGACCCACCA
This 77-nucleotide transfer RNA is filed under the name Azospirillum sp. Its description in RNAcentral is "tRNA-Ile". It matches the Rfam family "tRNA". From Rfam's summary of the family: Transfer RNA (tRNA) molecules are approximately 80 nucleotides in length. The record is from RNAcentral. Lineage: Bacteria; Pseudomonadati; Pseudomonadota; Alphaproteobacteria; Rhodospirillales; Azospirillaceae. RNAcentral also lists the same sequence under 10 other names.